This 303-nucleotide ribosomal RNA is filed under the name Belostoma sp. 50 TBG-2019. RNAcentral's name for it is "partial large subunit ribosomal RNA". The stretch from base 1 to 177 matches the Rfam family "Archaeal large subunit ribosomal RNA", at positions 1931 to 2143 of the family's 2987-position model. Lineage: Eukaryota; Metazoa; Arthropoda; Insecta; Hemiptera; Belostomatidae. The record is from RNAcentral. RNAcentral also lists the same sequence under 3 other names.
AAUUUUAUUUAAGGUCUGACCUGCCCUAUGAGAAAUUAAAUGGCCGCGGUAUUUUAACCGUGCAAAGGUAGCAUAGUCACUUGUCUCUUAAUUGGAGGCUUGAAUGAAGGGUUGGACGAGAUAUAAACUUUCUUUGUUGUAAUUAGUUGAAUUUGACUUUUGAGUCAAAAGGCUUAAAUUUAUUUAUAGGACGAGAAGACCCUAUAGAAUUUUAUAUUUUUAUAUCAAUAAUUUAUUUGUUUAUAAUUAGAUUUUUUAUAUAAAAAUAUUUUGUUGGGGCGAUGGGAAGAUUUUUUUAACUCU